CUUGGUCAUUUAGAGGAAGUAAAAGUCGUAACAAGGUUUCCGUAGGUGAACCUGCGGAAGGAUCAUUAAUGAAAGCUAGAGCGAGGUUGUAGCUGGCCCCCCCGGAGGCAACGUGCACGCCUUGUCUCCAUCUUCAUCUCUCACCCCCUGUGCACCUCUGCGUGGGUUCGGAGCGUUGGUUCGCUUCGGGCUUGCGUCAUUUUCCACAAAUCGUAUGUCUCGGAACGUUUUAUACUUGCUGUCGAAGCAAAAAAAUAAAUUUGUACAACUUUCAACAACGGAUCUCUUGGCUCUCGCAUCGAUGAAGAACGCAGCGAAAUGCGAUAAGUAAUGUGAAUUGCAGAAUUCAGUGAAUCAUCGAAUCUUUGAACGCACCUUGCGCCUCUUGGUAUUCCGAGGGGCACGCCUGUUUGAGUAUCGUGAAAUUCUCAACCCAACUCCUUUUGUGAAAAAGGGAUUUUUGGGCUUGGACUUUGGAGGUCUUUGCUGGUCCCUUUGUUUGGGAUCGGCUCCUCUCGAAUGCAUUAGUGGAGCUUGUCUGCUCUCUCUGCCUCUCGGUGUGAUAAUUCAUCUGCGCCGAUGUGUGAGAAGAGGAAAGUGCCGCUUCGAACCGUCUCGUUCUCGAGACAAGCAUAUAUACCCUUUGAUCUCAAAUCAGGCGGGACUACCCGCUGAACUUAAGCAUAUCAAUAAGCGGAGGA
This 701-nucleotide ribosomal RNA is filed under the name uncultured Leucophleps. RNAcentral's name for it is "eukaryotic LSU rRNA". The stretch from base 267 to 420 matches the Rfam family "5.8S ribosomal RNA". Lineage: Eukaryota; Fungi; Basidiomycota; Agaricomycetes; Boletales; Leucogastraceae. The record is from RNAcentral.